UACGUAGGGUGCAAGCGUUGUCCGGAAUUAUUGGGCGUAAAGAGCGUGUAGGCGGCCCGAUUAGUCCGCUGUGAAAGUCCAGGGCUCAACCCUGGAAUGCCGGUGGAUACUGUCGGGCUAGAGUCCGGAAGGGGCGAGUGGAAUUCCUGGUGUAGCGGUGAAAUGCGCAGAUAUCAGGAGGAACACCAAUGGCGAAGGCAGCUCGCUGGGCCAUAACUGACGCUAAGACUCGAAAGCAUGGGUAGCGAACGGG
RNAcentral lists this ribosomal RNA (253 nucleotides) under uncultured bacterium. RNAcentral describes it as "partial 16S ribosomal RNA". It matches the Rfam family "Bacterial small subunit ribosomal RNA", at positions 524 to 776 of the family's 1533-position model. The record is from RNAcentral.